AUUAUUAUGUAGCAUAGGGAAAUGGGGUACUAUGAGAAGAAAGUAGACAAUGAAGCAGGUUUGAAUUUUGUUAGGCUCUUAAGCAGCUGAAAUUAUCAUGUAUUGUGAGCUUUGAGCCAACCCUAUUUCAAUGUUGUUUGGGAAUUGUUCUUUUUGGAAUGGAGAAGUAAUCAUAGCAUGUAUUUGUCAUUU
Non-coding RNA from Pogona vitticeps (central bearded dragon), 192 nucleotides. The record is from RefSeq and is a predicted model, not a curated record. Lineage: Eukaryota; Metazoa; Chordata; Lepidosauria; Squamata; Agamidae.